Molecule: long non-coding RNA, 892 nt
Filed under: Daucus carota (carrot)
Lineage: Eukaryota; Viridiplantae; Streptophyta; Magnoliopsida; Apiales; Apiaceae
Description: long non-coding RNA (DCAR_LNC002153)
Source: RNAcentral
AGAAGGUGAUUGUAAGUCUGGACAGGACAUUGAACGACACUUUGCUCCAAGCUGUUAAAGGUGAUAUCAUUGGUAUUAUGAUGAUUCAAAUCCAAGCAGAAUCUCUUUGCAAGGAUAAUGAUUGUUAAGAAAAUCCCAGCAACAGCUUAGGGGGAGCAUUUGGUGGAUCCACUAGUCAAACUCAACACCACAUUGAAGAUGAACAGGACAUAUGAAGAACGUGCUCGUAGCUAAUAUGGAACUUCAACUGAAGAUGGAGUGAGCUGUUUUGAUAGUGAAGCCUCAUCAGAUGAGUAUUAGCUAUGGCACUUGAAGCUCUCAAACUUGUAUGUCAAAACAAGGAGCUCUUUUUCUUAGUAAGAAGAGAUUUGGUGAGAGGACUGCCUCAUCUGGAAUUCAUUAUGGAUGAAGAUUAUGAGGUAUGUCAAUAGGGAAGUCAAAGGAGCAUCGCACAUAAGCAAAGAUAUGAUCAAUAUUACUGAGCCGCUUCAGAUGAUACGUAUGGAUUUCUACGGAUCAGUUAAUGUCAUGUCUACAACAAAGCCAAAUAUCUUUUUGCGAAGAUCAUUGACUACUCUAGAUUCUUUCGUGUUGUUCGUAUGUGUUCGAAGGACAAGACGUCACAAAUGAAGGUUGAUCAAGAUGAACCCUGAUCAUUGAUAAAUCCAGAAAGACACCAUUCUUGUCAGUGGCCAAUCAGAAGCAAACACUAACUCUUGGUAUGUGUUUGGAGGAAAAUGCCUCUUUGCAAGUCUUGCAUUUGAAGCUCAAAGAAUAUUUUCCUCGGCUACUCAAUGGAGUCUACAGUCUACAGGGUGAUUGUGAUUAAUCAACAGAAGGUGAUUGUAAGUCUGGACAGGACAUUGAACGACACUUUGCUCCAAGCUGUUAA